GAUGAACGCUGGCGGCGUGCCUAAUACAUGCAAGUCGAGCGAACGGACGAGAAGCUUGCUUUUCUGAUGUUAGCGGCGGACGGGUGAGUAACACGUGGAUAACCUACCUAUAAGACUGGGAUAACUUCGGGAAACCGGAGCUAAUAUCGGAUAAUAUUUUGAACCGCAUGGUUCAAAAUUUAAAGACGGUCUUGCUGUCACUUAUAGAUGGAUCCGCGCUGCAUUAGCUAGUUGGUAAGGUAACGGCUUACCAAGGCAACGAUGCAUAGCCGACCUGAGAGGGUGAUCGGCCACACUGGAACUGAGACACGGUCCAGACUCCUACGGGAGGCAGCAGUAGGGAAUCUUCCGCAAUGGGCGAAAGCCUGACGGAGCAACGCCGCGUGAGUGAUGAAGGUCUUCGGAUCGUAAAACUCUGUUAUUAGGGAAGAACAUAUGUGUAAGUAACUGUGCACAUCUUGACGGUACCUAAUCAGAAAGCCACGGCUAACUACGUG
This 497-nucleotide ribosomal RNA is filed under the name uncultured bacterium. RNAcentral's name for it is "partial 16S ribosomal RNA". It matches the Rfam family "Bacterial small subunit ribosomal RNA", at positions 28 to 507 of the family's 1533-position model. The record is from RNAcentral.